This 236-nucleotide ribosomal RNA is filed under the name uncultured bacterium. RNAcentral's name for it is "partial 16S ribosomal RNA". It matches the Rfam family "Bacterial small subunit ribosomal RNA", at positions 98 to 334 of the family's 1533-position model. The record is from RNAcentral.
CCGCACGGGUGAGUAACACGUAUCCAACCUGCCGUCUACUCUUGGACAGCCUUCUGAAAGGAAGAUUAAUACAAGAUGGCAUCAUGAGUCCGCAUGUUCGCAUGAUUAAAGGUAUUCCGGUAGACGAUGGGGAUGCGUUCCAUUAGAUAGUAGGCGGGGUAACGGCCCACCUAGUCUUCGAUGGAUAGGGGUUCUGAGAGGAAGGUCCCCCACAUUGGAACUGAGACACGGUCCAA